RNAcentral lists this small nuclear RNA (104 nucleotides) under Microcebus murinus (gray mouse lemur). Lineage: Eukaryota; Metazoa; Chordata; Mammalia; Primates; Cheirogaleidae. The record is from RNAcentral.
GUGCUCGCUGCGGCAGCACAUAUACUAAAAUUGGAAUGAUACAGAGAUUAGCACGGCCCCUGCAUAAGGAUGACAUGCAAAUUCGUGAGGUGUUCCAUAUUUUA